This 207-nucleotide ribosomal RNA is filed under the name uncultured bacterium. Its description in RNAcentral is "partial 16S ribosomal RNA". It matches the Rfam family "Bacterial small subunit ribosomal RNA", at positions 568 to 774 of the family's 1533-position model. The record is from RNAcentral.
UACGUAGGCGGUUACUCAAGUCAGAGGUGAAAGCCCGGGGCUCAACCCCGGAACUGCCUUUGAAACUAGGUAGCUAGAAUCUUGGAGAGGUCAGUGGAAUUCCGAGUGUAGAGGUGAAAUUCGUAGAUAUUCGGAAGAACACCAGUGGCGAAGGCGACUGACUGGACAAGUAUUGACGCUGAGGUACGAAAGCGUGGGGAGCAAACA